ACAGAUCGACCUCAGAUCAGACCAGUCAACCCGCUGAAUUUAAGCAUAUUACUAAGCGGAGGAAAAGAAACUAACCAGGAUUCCCUCAGUACGGCGAGUGAACAGGGAAGAGCGGCGCCGAAUCCCCGCCUGUCCCCUGGGCGCGGGAAAUGUGGCGUAUGAGACGAAUCCCUGGCGUCGAUCGGGGCCCAAGUCCUUCUGAUCGAGGCUCUCCCACGGACGGUGUGAGGCCGGUGCGGCCUCCGUCGCGCCGGGGUCGGUCUUCUUGGAGUCGGGUUGUUUGUGAAUGCAGCCCAAAGCGGUGGUAAACUCCAUCUAAGGCUAAAUACCGGCAUGAGACCGAUAGCCAACAAGUACCGUAAGG
RNAcentral lists this ribosomal RNA (364 nucleotides) under Acipenser baerii (Siberian sturgeon). RNAcentral describes it as "eukaryotic LSU rRNA". It matches the Rfam family "Eukaryotic large subunit ribosomal RNA", at positions 1 to 358 of the family's 3401-position model. The record is from RNAcentral. Lineage: Eukaryota; Metazoa; Chordata; Actinopteri; Acipenseriformes; Acipenseridae.